This 87-nucleotide transfer RNA is filed under the name Maritimibacter sp. HL-12. RNAcentral's name for it is "tRNA_Leu_CAG". It matches the Rfam family "tRNA". From Rfam's summary of the family: Transfer RNA (tRNA) molecules are approximately 80 nucleotides in length. Their secondary structure includes four short double-helical elements and three loops (D, anti-codon, and T loops). Lineage: Bacteria; Pseudomonadati; Pseudomonadota; Alphaproteobacteria; Rhodobacterales; Roseobacteraceae. The record is from RNAcentral. RNAcentral also lists the same sequence under 4 other names.
GCCCAGGUGGCGGAAUUGGUAGACGCGCUGGUUUCAGGUACCAGUGAUCGAAAGGUCGUGGAGGUUCGAGUCCUCUCCUGGGCACCA